GGCGGGGUCGCAUAGUCCGGCCUAGUGCACUUGUCUUGAAAACAAGAGAGGGUAACACCUCCGUGGGUUCGAAUCCCACCCCCGCCGCCA
RNAcentral lists this transfer RNA (90 nucleotides) under Spirochaetota bacterium. RNAcentral describes it as "Spirochaetes bacterium tRNA-Ser". It matches the Rfam family "tRNA". Rfam says of the family: Transfer RNA (tRNA) molecules are approximately 80 nucleotides in length. Their secondary structure includes four short double-helical elements and three loops (D, anti-codon, and T loops). Lineage: Bacteria; Pseudomonadati; Spirochaetota. The record is from RNAcentral.